RNAcentral lists this small nuclear RNA (107 nucleotides) under Octodon degus (degu). Lineage: Eukaryota; Metazoa; Chordata; Mammalia; Rodentia; Octodontidae. The record is from RNAcentral.
GGGCUUGCUUCGGCAGCACAUAUACUAAAAUUGGAACGAUACAGAGAAGAUUAGCAUGGCCCCUGUGCAAGGAUGACAUGCAAAUUCAUGAAGCGUUCCACAUUUUU